UAGAAGGGAGUGGCCAACACCGUCUGG
RNAcentral lists this non-coding RNA (27 nucleotides) under Homo sapiens (human). The record is from RNAcentral. Lineage: Eukaryota; Metazoa; Chordata; Mammalia; Primates; Hominidae.